GAUGAACGCUGGCGGCGUGCCUAAUACAUGCAAGUCGAGCGAACGGACGAGAAGCUUGCUUCUCUGAUGUUAGCGGCGGACGGGUGAGUAACACGUGGAUAACCUACCUAUAAGACUGGGAUAACUUCGGGAAACCGGAGCUAAUACCGGAUAAUAUUUUGAACCGCAUGGUUCAAAAGUGAAAGACGGUCUUGCUGUCACUUAUAGAUGGAUCCGCGCUGCAUUAGCUAGUUGGUAAGGUAACGGCUUACCAAGGCAACGAUGCAUAGCCGACCUGAGAGGGUGAUCGGCCACACUGGAACUGAGCCGCGGUCCAGACUCCUACGGGAGGCAGCAGUAGGGAAUCUUCCGCAAUGGGCGAAAGCCUGACGGAGCAACGCCGCGUGAGUGAUGAAGGUCUUCGGAUCGUAAAACUCUGUUAUUAGGGAAGAACAUAUGUGUAAGUAACUGUGGACAUCUUGACGGUACCUAGUCAGAAAGCCACGGCUAACUACGUG
Molecule: ribosomal RNA, 497 nt
Filed under: uncultured bacterium
Lineage: Bacteria
Description: partial 16S ribosomal RNA
Rfam family: Bacterial small subunit ribosomal RNA
Source: RNAcentral